GAGCAGCUGCGGCCAGUGCGCGGCGCGCCGCGGCGGGUCGGCGCGCACCCAGCGCAGCGCCAGCUGGUAGGCGGCCUCCUCCUUGGGCACGCACAGCCCGUCGUCGCGCAGGUAGCGCAGCAGCCGCGCCAGGGGCAGCCGCUCCAGCUGCUCGGCGCCCAGCUCGCCCACGUGGCGCAGGAUGAAGCGCUGCGCCGCGCUCGCCAGCCCCGCGCAGCUGAAGGCCUCGGCGAAGUCCUGCAUGUCCAGGCAGUUGGUCAGGUCGAGCUGCUGCUGUAGGAAGGCGCCGCACGCCUCCUUCACGGCCGGGAACUGCAGCAGGUCGGCGGCGCGCAGCAGCGGCUCAGCGUUGUCGCCGCUCACCGCCACGCGGCCCGUGUAGCUGAAGUCGAGCAGCAGCUGCAGCAUGUCGGGCGGCACGCCAUGCAGGCGCACCCGCUCGGCGCGGCUCUCGCGCAGCUGCCCGGCGAACAUGGCGCGGAAGUAGGGGCUGGCGGCCGCCAGCACGGCGCGGUGCGCCGGGAAGUCGCGCCCUCCCGCUGCCUCCAGGGUCACGUCCAGGAACUUGCGCUCGGCGCGGAGCUGGCUCAGGCCGCGCAGCAGGCUUAGCGCGUGCGCAGGAUCCGAGAAGGGUAGCACGGCUAGGGGCGCCGGCCGCUCCAUGGCGCCUUGGCUGGGGGCGCGGGGCCGCUGCGCGCGCGCGCUACUCGGAAAAUCCGCCGCCAGGGCCAGCGGGAGAGACACUAGGAGCUGGUCGCCCCGGCUAUAAAUAGGGCCGGGCGCCUCGGCCUCCGGGGGGGCGGGGGCCGGGCGGGGGCGGGGCGUCACCGGCACCGCCCACUUAACCCCUCCGGGCCCGGCGCCGCCGCCCGUCCUGCCACCCGGCUGAGCUCGCUGACUCGCCUCCCCUCGCGUGCUCCCGCCCCCGCGCUCCAGGCUGAGUCACCGCCGCCCGCGCCCGUUCCCUCUCUCCGCCCUUCCGGGGCUUCCUGCAGCCUCCCGCCGACGCCCGAGACGGGGACACCGGGUGACAAGGGUCCUCUCCGAGGGGCGGCCCUGCCGUGCGCUGGGAUCGGGGGCCUCCAGGGCCUGCCCACCACCUACUCGGGCCCGGCUGCUGAACAAAACCCGGUGGUGGCGGAGGAAGCCACCCCUUUCGCGCCAGACUUCCCAACUGCUCCCGGGCGACUCGAUGAAACCUGAGUUUCUGUUAUUGGAUAGCAACCCCCAUGCCCUGUGGGCUUGGCAAAGACAUUCCAGACAGCAGCCUCAUUCCGCCCACGUGUGUCCCAGGGCAGGCCAGGCACACCAGGAGUUGCUGUCAUUUCUUGGUUCCAGCUCAGUCGGCACAGCCUUUGGAGAAGACAUCUUGGUUUUAUUCCAUCUCUGACAUGCAAACUGUAGGCUUUCUCUUCUACUUGUGAAUCUCCCAUCAUCUUGCCGUGAGAAGGUAUCUAGUCUAAAUGUCAGUAUGGGAAGCACAGGCCUAAGUCAGAAAGCAUUCAGGUACCCAGGCGGGCUGCCUGUUGCCCAUAGAUGGACUGUUCACACAGCUAUUAACAGCAGCAGCAGCAUUCCUGGGCCCAGGAGCCCGGCCAAUAAGCUUACUUGCUCAGGCUUUGUGACAAGAAAGUCUAAGUAGCCAGGAAGUGGGAUGUUUGUAGGGAAAAGUACUACAGUCCCUCUGGGUCAGAACUCAUCCACCUGGUAUAAAUCAAAUCUUUUAAAUGUUUCUGUAGUUAAGAACCGAGCCCAGUUUUAUGUAUUCCUAACAACAGGGGGUUAUUUAACUGAUGUUUCAGCCUUACUCUGAAGACUAAUGAUGCAAUAUUGAUUGAA
Molecule: long non-coding RNA, 1839 nt
Organism: Lagenorhynchus albirostris (white-beaked dolphin)
Lineage: Eukaryota; Metazoa; Chordata; Mammalia; Artiodactyla; Delphinidae
Exons: 2
Source: RefSeq, a predicted model, not a curated record